GUCGUAACAAGGUUUCCGUAGGUGAACCUGCGGAAGGAUCAUUAACGCGCAGGCCGGAGGCCGGCCCCCCAGGAUAGGGCCAAACGUCCGUCAGGGGUGAGCAGAUGUGCGCCGGCCGUACCGCCCCAUUCUUGUCUACCUUACUCGGUUGCCUCGGCGGGCCGCGCUCUCCCAGGAGAGCCGUUCGGCGAGCCUCUCUUUAUAGCGGCUCAACGCUGGACCGCGCCCGCCGGAGGACAGACGCAAAAAAAAAUUCUUUCAGAAGAGCUGUCAGUCUGAGCGUUAGCAAGCAAAAAUCAGUUAAAACUUUCAACAACGGAUCUCUUGGUUCCGGCAUCGAUGAAGAACGCAGCGAAAUGCGAUAAGUAAUGUGAAUUGCAGAAUUCCGUGAAUCAUCGAAUCUUUGAACGCACAUUGCGCCCCCUGGCAUUCCGGGGGGCAUGCCUGUUCGAGCGUCAUUUCAGCCCCUCAAGCCCGGCUUGUGUGAUGGACGACCGUCCGGCGCCCCCGUCUCUGGGGGUGCGGGACGCGCCCGAAAAGCAGUGGCCAGGCCGCGAUUCCGGCUUUCUAGGCGAAUGGGCAACAAACCAGCGCCUCCAGGACCGGCCGCCCUGGCCUCAAAAUCUGUUUUAUACUUAUCAGGUUGACCUCGGAUCAGGUAGGGAUACCCGCUGAACUUAAGCAUAUCAAUAAGCGGAGGAAA
This 703-nucleotide unclassified non-coding RNA is filed under the name Trichophyton tonsurans. Its description in RNAcentral is "sequence contains 18S rRNA gene, ITS1, 5.8S rRNA gene, ITS2, 28S rRNA gene". The stretch from base 305 to 458 matches the Rfam family "5.8S ribosomal RNA". The record is from RNAcentral. Lineage: Eukaryota; Fungi; Ascomycota; Eurotiomycetes; Onygenales; Arthrodermataceae.